This 224-nucleotide unclassified non-coding RNA is filed under the name uncultured fungus. RNAcentral's name for it is "sequence contains ITS1, 5.8S rRNA gene". The stretch from base 176 to 224 matches the Rfam family "5.8S ribosomal RNA", at positions 1 to 49 of the family's 154-position model. The record is from RNAcentral. Lineage: Eukaryota; Fungi.
UCUCCGUAGGUGAACCUGCGGAGGGAUCAUUACUGAGUGAGGGCUCACGCCCGACCUCCAACCCUUUGUGAACCAAACCUGUUGCUUCGGGGGCGACCCUGCCGUUCGGCGCGGCGCCCCCGGAGGCUCAUCAAACACUGCAUCUUUGCGUCGGAGUCUUAAUGAAUUUAAACAAAACUUUUAACAACGGAUCUCUUGGUUCUGGCAUCGAUGAAGAACGCAGC